RNAcentral lists this ribosomal RNA (460 nucleotides) under uncultured bacterium. RNAcentral's name for it is "partial 16S ribosomal RNA". It matches the Rfam family "Bacterial small subunit ribosomal RNA", at positions 338 to 795 of the family's 1533-position model. The record is from RNAcentral.
CCUACGGGUGACAGCAGUGAGGAAUAUUGGUCAAUGGCCGGAAGGCUGAACCAGCCAAGUCGCGUGAAGGAUGACGGUGCUAAGGAUUGUAAACUUCUUUUAUCAAGGGAUAAAAUGAGGCUCGAGUGCCUGAUUGAGUGUACUUGAUGAAUAAGCAUCGGCUAACUCCGUGCCAGCAGCCGCGGUAAUACGGAGGAUGCGAGCGUUAUCCGGAUUCAUUGGGUGUAAAGGGAGCGUAGAUGGGUUGUAAAGUCAGGUGUGAAAGGUGCAGGCUCAACCGGUGAAUGGCAAUUGAUACUGGCAGGCUGGAGUACAGUAGAGGUAGGCGGAAUUCGUGGUGUAGCGGUGAAAUGCUUAGAUAUCACGAAGAACAUCGAUUGCGAAGGCAGUUUACUAAGCUGCAAUUGACACUGAGGAUCGAAAGUGUGGGUAGCAAACAGGAUUAGAUACCCUAGUAGUC